UACACUCCUGCGGGAGGCAGCAGUGGGGAAUAUUGCACAAUGGGCGCAAGCCUGAUGCAGCCAUGCCGCGUGUAUGAAGAAGGCCUUCGGGUUGUAAAGUACUUUCAGCGGGGAGGAAGGCGAUAAGGUUAAUAACCUUGUCGAUUGACGUUACCCGCAGAAGAAGCACCGGCUAACUCCGUGCCAGCAGCCGCGGUAAUACGGAGGGUGCAAGCGUUAAUCGGAAUUACUGGGCGUAAAGCGCACGCAGGCGGUCUGUCAAGUCGGAUGUGAAAUCCCCGGGCUCAACCUGGGAACUGCAUUCGAAACUGGCAGGCUAGAGUCUUGUAGAGGGGGGUAGAAUUCCAGGUGUAGCGGUGAAAUGCGUAGAGAUCUGGAGGAAUACCGGUGGCGAAGGCGGCCCCCUGGACAAAGACUGACGCUCAGGUGCGAAAGCGUGGGGAGCAAACAGGAUUAGAAACCCUAGUAGUCCCAUGA
Molecule: ribosomal RNA, 477 nt
Filed under: uncultured organism
Description: partial 16S ribosomal RNA
Rfam family: Bacterial small subunit ribosomal RNA
Source: RNAcentral